GGGUUGUGAGGUUAAGCGACUAAGCGUACACGGUGGAUGCCCUGGCAGUCAGAGGCGAUGAAGGACGUGCUAAUCUGCGAAAAGCGCCGGCGAGGUGAUAUGAACCUUUGACCCGGCGAUGUCCGAAUGGGGAAACCCAGUGUGAUUCGUCACACUAUCGUUAACUGAAUACAUAGGUUAACGAGGCGAACCGGGGGAACUGAAACAUCUAAGUACCCCGAGGAAAAGAAAUCAACCGAGAUUCCCCCAGUAGCGGCGAGCGAACGGGGAGCAGCCCAGAGUCUGAAUCAGCUUGUGUGUUAGUGGAAGCGUCUGGAAAGUCGCACGGUACAGGGUGACAGUCCCGUACACGAAAGCACACAGGUUGUGAACUCGAAGAGUAGGGCGGGACACGUGGUAUCCUGUCUGAAUAUGGGGGGACCAUCCUCCAAGGCUAAAUACUCCUGACUGACCGAUAGUGAACCAGUACCGUGAGGGAAAGGCGAAAAGAACCCCGGCGAGGGGAGUGAAAAAGAACCUGAAACCGUGUACGUACAAGCAGUGGGAGCACCUUCGUGGUGUGACUGCGUACCUUUUGUAUAAUGGGUCAGCGACUUAUAUUCUGUAGCAAGGUUAACCGUAUAGGGGAGCCGAAGGGAAACCGAGUCUUAACUGGGCGUUAAGUUGCAGGGUAUAGACCCGAAACCCGGUGAUCUAGCCAUGGGCAGGUUGAAGGUUGGGUAACACUAACUGGAGGACCGAACCGACUAAUGUUGAAAAAUUAGCGGAUGACUUGUGGCUGGGGGUGAAAGGCCAAUCAAACCGGGAGAUAGCUGGUUCUCCCCGAAAGCUAUUUAGGUAGCGCCUCGUGAACUCAUCUUCGGGGGUAGAGCACUGUUUCGGCUAGGGGGCCAUCCCGGCUUACCAACCCGAUGCAAACUACGAAUACCGAAGAAUGUUAUCACGGGAGACACACGGCGGGUGCUAACGUCCGUCGUGAAGAGGGAAACAACCCAGACCGCCAGCUAAGGUCCCAAAGUCAUGGUUAAGUGGGAAACGAUGUGGGAAGGCACAGACAGCCAGGAUGUUGGCUUAGAAGCAGCCAUCAUUUAAAGAAAGCGUAAUAGCUCACUGGUCGAGUCGGCCUGCGCGGAAGAUGUAACGGGGCUAAACCAUGCACCGAAGCUGCGGCAGCGACGCUUAUGCGUUGUUGGGUAGGGGAGCGUUCUGUAAGCCGUUGAAGGUGUGCUGUGAGGCAUGCUGGAGGUAUCAGAAGUGCGAAUGCUGACAUAAGUAACGAUAAAGCGGGUGAAAAGCCCGCUCGCCGGAAGACCAAGGGUUCCUGUCCAACGUUAAUCGGGGCAGGGUGAGUCGACCCCUAAGGCGAGGCCGAAAGGCGUAGUCGAUGGGAAACAGGUUAAUAUUCCUGUACUUGGUGUUACUGCGAAGGGGGGACGGAGAAGGCUAUGUUAGCCGGGCGACGGUUGUCCCGGUUUAAGCAUGUAGGCGGAACGACCAGGUAAAUCCGGUCGUUUUUUAACGCUGAGGUGUGAUGACGAGGCACUACGGUGCUGAAGUAACAAAUGCCCUGCUUCCAGGAAAAGCCUCUAAGCAUCAGGUAACAUCAAAUCGUACCCCAAACCGACACAGGUGGUCAGGUAGAGAAUACCAAGGCGCUUGAGAGAACUCGGGUGAAGGAACUAGGCAAAAUGGUGCCGUAACUUCGGGAGAAGGCACGCUGAUAUGUAGGUGAAGCCCCUGCGGGUGGAGCUGAAAUCAGUCGAAGAUACCAGCUGGCUGCAACUGUUUAUUAAAAACACAGCACUGUGCAAACACGAAAGUGGACGUAUACGGUGUGACGCCUGCCCGGUGCCGGAAGGUUAAUUGAUGGGGUUAGCGGCAACGCGAAGCUCUUGAUCGAAGCCCCGGUAAACGGCGGCCGUAACUAUAACGGUCCUAAGGUAGCGAAAUUCCUUGUCGGGUAAGUUCCGACCUGCACGAAUGGCGUAAUGAUGGCCAGGCUGUCUCCACCCGAGACUCAGUGAAAUUGAACUCGCUGUGAAGAUGCAGUGUACCCGCGGCAAGACGGAAAGACCCCGUGAACCUUUACUAUAGCUUGACACUGAACACUGGUCCUUGAUGUGUAGGAUAGGUGGGAGGCUUUGAAG
Molecule: ribosomal RNA, 2147 nt
Filed under: Enterobacter roggenkampii
Lineage: Bacteria; Pseudomonadati; Pseudomonadota; Gammaproteobacteria; Enterobacterales; Enterobacteriaceae
Description: partial 23S ribosomal RNA
Rfam family: Bacterial large subunit ribosomal RNA
Source: RNAcentral